Molecule: ribosomal RNA, 403 nt
Filed under: uncultured bacterium
Lineage: Bacteria
Description: bacterial SSU rRNA
Rfam family: Bacterial small subunit ribosomal RNA
Source: RNAcentral
GGGGAAUAUUGGGCAAUGGGCGCAAGCCUGACCCAGCAACGCCGCGUGAGGGGAGAAGGUCUUCGGAUUGUAAACCUCUGUCCCCCAGGACGAAAAAAGUGACGGUACUGGGGGAGGAAGCUCCGGCUAACUACGUGCCAGCAGCCGCGGUAAUACGUAGGGAGCGAGCGUUGUCCGGAAUUACUGGGCGUAAAGGGUGCGUAGGCGGCAAUGCAAGUCAGAUGUGAAAUCCCCGGGCUUAACUCGGGGGGUGCAUUUGAAACUGCAGUGCUUGAGUGCAGGAGAGGAAAGCGGAAUUCCUAGUGUAGCGGUGAAAUGCGUAGAUAUUAGGAAGAACACCAGUGGCGAAGGCGGCUUUCUGGACUGUAACUGACGCUGAGGCACGAAAGCGUGGGGAGCAAAC